UGGGGAAUAUUGCACAAUGGGCGGAAGCCUGAUGCAGCAACGCCGCGUGAGGGAUGACGGCCUUCGGGUUGUAAACCUCUUUUAGCAGGGAAGAAGCGAGAGUGACGGUACCUGCAGAAAAAGCGCCGGCUAACUACGUGCCAGCAGCCGCGGUAAUACGUAGGGCGCAAGCGUUAUCCGGAAUUAUUGGGCGUAAAGAGCUCGUAGGCGGUCUGUCGCGUCUGCUGUGAAAACCCGAGGCUCAACCUCGGGCCUGCAGUGGGUACGGGCAGACUAGAGUGCGGUAGGGGAGAUUGGAAUUCCUGGUGUAGCGGUGGAAUGCGCAGAUAUCAGGAGGAACACCGAUGGCGAAGGCAGAUCUCUGGGCCGUAACUGACGCUGAGGAGCGAAAGGGUGGGGAGCAAGCAGGCUUAGAUGACCCUGGUAGUCCACCCCGUAAACGUUGGGAACUAGUUGUGGGACCUUUCCACGGUCUGCCGUGACGCAGCUAACGCAUUAAGUU
This 502-nucleotide ribosomal RNA is filed under the name uncultured bacterium. Its description in RNAcentral is "partial 16S ribosomal RNA". It matches the Rfam family "Bacterial small subunit ribosomal RNA", at positions 355 to 866 of the family's 1533-position model. The record is from RNAcentral.